UCAGAAUCAACGCUGGCGGCGUGCCUAACACAUGCAAGUCGAACGCGAAAGUCCGCAAGGGAGUCAGUAGAGUGGCAAACGGGUGAGUAACACGUGGGUGACCUGCCCUCGAGCGGGGGAGUAACGUCCCCGAAAGGGACGGCUAAUACCGCAUGACAUCCUGCCUUUGAACAGGUGGAGAUCAAAGCCGGGGAUCGCAAGACCUGGCACUCGAGGAGGGGCCCGCGCCUGAUUAGCUAGUUGGUGAGGUAACGGCUCACCAAGGCUUCGAUCAGUAUCCGGCCUGAGAGGGCGGACGGACACACUGGGACUGAGACACGGCCCAGACUCCUACGGGAGGCAGCAGUGGGGAAUUGUUCGCAAUGGGCGCAAGCCUGACGACGCAACGCCGCGUGGAGGAUGAAGACCUUCGGGUCGUAAACUCCUUUCGAUCGAGACGAAUGGCCUCUGGGUGAAUAAUCCGGAGGAGUGACGGCACCGAGAGAAGAAGCCCCGGCUAACUCCGUG
This 507-nucleotide ribosomal RNA is filed under the name uncultured bacterium. Its description in RNAcentral is "bacterial SSU rRNA". It matches the Rfam family "Bacterial small subunit ribosomal RNA", at positions 24 to 507 of the family's 1533-position model. The record is from RNAcentral.